CAGUAGCCACGGGAAUACGUAGGGUGCAAGCGUUAAUCGGAAUUACUGGGCGUAAAGCGCACGCAGGCGGUCUGACAAGUCAGAUGUGAAAUCCCCGGGCUUAACCUGGGAACUGCAUUUGAAACUGUCAGGCUGGAGUCUUGUAGAGGGGGGUGGAAUUCCAGGUGUAGCGGUGAAAUGCGUAGAGAUCUGGAGGAACACCAGUGGCGAAGGCGACUCUCUGGUCUGUAACUGACGCUGAGGCACGAAAGCGUGGGGAGCAAACAGGAUUAGAUACCCCGGUAGUCCCUGUCUCUUAUAC
This 301-nucleotide ribosomal RNA is filed under the name uncultured bacterium. Its description in RNAcentral is "partial 16S ribosomal RNA". It matches the Rfam family "Bacterial small subunit ribosomal RNA", at positions 509 to 807 of the family's 1533-position model. The record is from RNAcentral.